Non-coding RNA from Talaromyces islandicus, 74 nucleotides. NCBI's taxonomy places the organism in Eukaryota, Fungi, Ascomycota, Eurotiomycetes, Eurotiales, Trichocomaceae. The record is from the annotation of a GenBank genome assembly.
GCUCGCUUAACUCAGUUGGUUAGAGUGCCGUACUAAUAAUGCGGACGUCAGAGGUUCGAGCCCUCUAGUGAGCA